CCUACGGGUGGCUGCAGUGGGGAAUAUUGGACAAUGGGCGAAAGCCUGAUCCAGCCAUGCCGCGUGUGUGAAGAAGGCCUUCGGGUUGUAAAGCACUUUCAGUGGGGAAGAAAGCCUUGGGGCUAAUACCCUCGAGGAAGGACAUCACCCACAGAAGAAGCACCGGCUAACUCCGUGCCAGCAGCCGCGGUAAUACGGAGGGUGCGAGCGUUUAUCGGAAUUACUGGGCGUAAAGCGCGCGUAGGCGGUCUGAUAAGCCGGUUGUGAAAGCCCCGGGCUCAACCUGGGAACGGCAUCCGGAACUGUCAGGCUAGAGUGCAGGAGAGGAAGGUAGAAUUCCCGGUGUAGCGGUGAAAUGCGUAGAGAUCGGGAGGAAUACCAGUGGCGAAGGCGGCCUUCUGGACUGACACUGACGCUGAGGUGCGAAAGCGUGGGUAGCAAACAGGAUUAGAUACCCGUGUAGUC
RNAcentral lists this ribosomal RNA (465 nucleotides) under Vreelandella stevensii. RNAcentral describes it as "partial 16S ribosomal RNA". It matches the Rfam family "Bacterial small subunit ribosomal RNA", at positions 338 to 795 of the family's 1533-position model. The record is from RNAcentral. Lineage: Bacteria; Pseudomonadati; Pseudomonadota; Gammaproteobacteria; Oceanospirillales; Halomonadaceae.